UUGAAAGGAAGUAAAGGCCAUGGGCUAGCCUGACUUCUUUUACAGGAGAGGAAGAAACUUUACAUCCACGGUGAGAAAAUAAUCUACCUUCCAUGUGCAGAGGAGAGAGAGGGGAGGCUGAAUGCAAGGCAAUUGAAGGAAGAGGAAACAGAGAAAUAGGAGAAGAAAAAGGAAGAAAAUCAGUACUAUUAGAAUAAGAGAAGAAACCAUCUAGUGGAAACACCAUUGCAUCAUAUUUAUAAAUACCUGGUAUCCAAGAGUUGUGGACAACUGACAAAAAGACCCUCAUCAAAAGGUGAUCAAUAUAUAUCCUCAUGACAUACUGUCUCCUCACCAUGGCCCCACUAUUGGGCCAUCUCCACCUCAUCAGAAACUUGGAUUAUACCCUUUCAUUCCCCCCCAGCUCUGUAUCCAGAAGAAGGUUGGACAUAUGGUCCCAGGAACAGACUAGAACAGAUCUUAGGAUCAGCUGAGCAAAGGGGCUUGGCACCAAAGGAUUUGUCUCCACAAAAAAAUCAACAAGCAUUUAGUAGGUUCCUAAUAUGUGCUGGACCAGAUGACUUGAGGUGGAGGAGGAAGGAGAGAAGGCACAACACUUUCAAAACUGUCUACUACUAAAGUAUGAAGAAAUUGUGAGAAGAAACAGCCACAC
Vombatus ursinus (common wombat) is the source of this 652-nucleotide long non-coding RNA. RefSeq lists it as uncharacterized. Lineage: Eukaryota; Metazoa; Chordata; Mammalia; Diprotodontia; Vombatidae. The record is from RefSeq and is a predicted model, not a curated record. The transcript is spliced from 4 exons.